CACGUAGGGGGCAAGCGUUGUCCGGAUUUAUUGGGCGUAAAGAGCUCGUAGGUGGUUCAGUAAGUCAGGUGUGAAACCUCCAGGCUCAACCUGGAGACGCCACUUGAUACUGCUGUGACUGGAGUCCGGUAGGGGAGCGUGGAAUUCCUGGUGUAGCGGUGAAAUGCGCAGAUAUCAGGAGGAACACCAGCGGCGAAGGCGGCGCUCUGGGCCGGUACUGACACUGAGGAGCGAAAGCGUGGGGAGCGAACAGG
RNAcentral lists this ribosomal RNA (254 nucleotides) under uncultured bacterium. Its description in RNAcentral is "partial 16S ribosomal RNA". It matches the Rfam family "Bacterial small subunit ribosomal RNA", at positions 524 to 776 of the family's 1533-position model. The record is from RNAcentral.